RNAcentral lists this long non-coding RNA (1575 nucleotides) under Homo sapiens (human). RNAcentral describes it as "HSALNT0298585". Lineage: Eukaryota; Metazoa; Chordata; Mammalia; Primates; Hominidae. The record is from RNAcentral.
AACCUUCGAUCCCCCAUCCAACUAUUGACCUGACUUUUUAUUUCAAUGUCAAAAUAGUAGGUAAAGAGAGAAAUUUUAGUGGGAGACAAGGAAACUUUGGUGGGAGAGAAGGAAUUGCUGAUUUCUUGAGUAGAGGAGAGAGGACAGGAUCUUUUAUGCAAGUGGAAACACGGGUGUUAGCUGGGAACUGAAAAAGUUCAUCUGAAGUAACAGAAGAGGAGGCAGAGCACACAGAUCUGAUUGCAUUUGUUGAUAUGGUAACACUUCCUAGAGAGUCUUUAAUCAGUGGACUAGCUCUAGCAGCUUUACACAAGACUGAAAUUAUUGUAACAAAUGUUUCAUUUAAAUAUGACACCAUGGUUUGGAGUCCUAAGCCAUAAACAAUAAGCCAGAAUGAUUCUGCAGCUUUCAAAAGAAGAAAAGUCUGCAAACUUUGCAUGGAAACACACCACACAGCAUUUCUGAUGUCUUUACUGUCCCCUGGUCAUUGUCUUGUGCCCAUUGGAGGAGGCAUGUUUUAGGGUAUCAGUAGUGGAAGCAGGUGCAGCAGAAGUACAUCAGAGCCAGAUUAGGAAGUGAGGACAGAGUCAAGGGGCAAAGCCAACUUGUCGCAUGUCAGAACAGAAGAUGCCAAGAACUGAGAAGGGUGGAUUAUAGAUUUGGAGGCAUGGAAUGGGAGAACUAAUAUUAUAGGAUAAAACUGGAUGGCAAAGGCUGAAGACUUGGGGGUGUCAGGAAUAUUUCUGAAUUUAAAUGAUGGGUUCUGAACUAAUAAUUGUGGUUCAGACCCCAUUCACCAGAUUUGAAUGCAUCUCAGGAAGUAGGAGACUGGGGAGAAGAACUUUUAAAGAGCCACAUGCCUGCCUUUCUGCUCGGGUUCUGAGAUUCUUGAGGCAUUAUUGUCUCUGAAGGAAAUAAACAAUUGUUACCUUGUAAAGGUGUCUUUAUCCUCAGCACUAUUACAAAAUUUCAGGUGCAUGCAUGUAGCUACAAUCAUUGAGCAUCAUUCUGAUGUCCUUUGUGUAUCAGUCAUCUCUUAUGGUGACUUAAGUAUAAUGUCAAGGGUUCGGGUUAAGGCACUAGGUGGAACCAGAGUGGGAGAAACUGCUCCUUAGGAUGGAGGAGGCAGCAGUCCAUUAACCCAGGGGUUUCACGAACUGGACCAUUAUUUUUUUCUUUUUCUUUCUUUUUUUUUUUGAGACAGUGUUCUUAUUUUGUUGCCCAGGCUGGGGUGCAGUGGUACAUGGACCAUGAUAUUCUUAUCAAAGGACAUUUUGUCUGGUGGGUUGGAGCAAUAUUUGGCAGAACUAUGGUUUAAGAAAUCAUCUCAGAGAGCAGGAGGUGAAUGGGGAGAGGCUGAUGAGAAAAAGGCAUAAAUGAGAAUUCCUAGGUGAGCUAGUAAUGUUCUGGGCUGGAUUAAGUGUGAACUUGCAGAGUUAAGUGGAAAACCAGGGCAGGCAGGUUCUUAAUCUUAUGGGCUGGGCCAGCAAGAUGCAUAGUAGGGGGAGGCUCUUGUCCAGUACAGUGGAGGGCUGAUAUGGUUUGGCUGUGUCCCCACCCAAAUCUCUUCAUGAG